This 1373-nucleotide ribosomal RNA is filed under the name uncultured bacterium. Its description in RNAcentral is "bacterial SSU rRNA". It matches the Rfam family "Bacterial small subunit ribosomal RNA", at positions 28 to 1381 of the family's 1533-position model. The record is from RNAcentral.
GAUGAACGCUGGCGGCGUGCCUAAUACAUGCAAGUCGAGCGAACGGACGAGAAGCUUGCUUCUCUGAUGUUAGCGGCGGACGGGUGAGUAACACGUGGAUAACCUACCUAUAAGACUGGGAUAACUUCGGGAAACCGGAGCUAAUACCGGAUAAUAUUUUGAACCGCAUGGUUCAAAAGUGAAAGACGGUCUUGCUGUCACUUAUAGAUGGAUCCGCGCUGCAUUAGCUAGUUGGUAAGGUAACGGCUUACCAAGGCAACGAUGCAUAGCCGACCUGAGAGGGUGAUCGGCCACACUGGAACUGAGACACGGUCCAGACUCCUACGGGAGGCAGCAGUAGGGAAUCUUCCGCAAUGGGCGAAAGCCUGACGGAGCAACGCCGCGUGAGUGAUGAAGGUCUUCGGAUCGUAAAACUCUGUUAUUAGGGAAGAACAUAUGUGUAAGUAACUGUGCACAUCUUGACGGUACCUAAUCAGAAAGCCACGGCUAACUACGUGCCUGCAGCCGCGGUAAUACGUAGGUGGCAAGCGUUAUCCGGAAUUAUUGGGCGUAAAGCGCGCGUAGGCGGUUUUUUAAGUCUGAUGUGAAAGCCCACGGCUCAACCGUGGAGGGUCAUUGGAAACUGGAAAACUUGAGUGCAGAAGAGGAAAAGUGGAAUUCCAUGUGUAGCGGUGAAAUGCGCAGAGAUAUGGAGGAACACCAGUGGCGAAGGCGACUUUCUGGUCUGUAACUGACGCUGAUGUGCGAAAGCGUGGGGAUCAAACAGGAUUAGAUACCCUGGUAGUCCACGCCGUAAACGAUGAGUGCUAAGUGUUAGGGGGUUUCCGCCCCUUAGUGCUGCAGCUAACGCAUUAAGCACUCCGCCUGGGGAGUACGACCGCAAGGUUGAAACUCAAAGGAAUUGACGGGGACCCGCACAAGCGGUGGAGCAUGUGGUUUAAUUCGAAGCAACGCGAAGAACCUUACCAAAUCUUGACAUCCUUUGACAACUCUAGAGAUAGAGCUUUCCCCUUCGGGGGACAAAGUGACAGGUGGUGCAUGGUUGUCGUCAGCUCGUGUCGUGAGAUGUUGGGUUAAGUCCCGCAACGAGCGCAACCCUUAAGCUUAGUUGCCAUCAUUAAGUUGGGCACUCUAAGUUGACUGCCGGUGACAAACCGGAGGAAGGUGGGGAUGACGUCAAAUCAUCAUGCCCCUUAUGAUUUGGGCUACACACGUGCUACAAUGGACAAUACAAAGGGCAGCGAAACCGUGAGGUCAAGCAAAUCCCAUAAAGUUGUUCUCAGUUCGGAUUGUAGUCUGCAACUCGACUACAUGAAGCUGGAAUCGCUAGUAAUCGUAGAUCAGCAUGCUACGGUGAAUACGUUCCCGGGUCU